CGGCGAACGGGUGAGUAACACGUGGGCAACCUACCCAGAAGACCGGGAUAACGGCUCGAAAGGGCCGCUAAUACCGGAUAAUGUCGGGGUACCGCAUGGUACUCCGAAGAAAGGGGAAACCCGCUUUUGGAUGGGCCCGCGUCCCAUCAGCUAGUUGGUGAGGUAACGGCUCACCAAGGCGACGACGGGUAGCCGGUCUGAGAGGAUGGUCGGCCACACUGGAACUGAGACACGGCCCAGACUCCUACGGGAGGCAGCAGUUGGGAAUCUUGGGCAAUGGGCGAAAGCCUGACCCAGCGACGCCGCGUGAGGGAAGAAGGCCUUCGGGUCGUAAACCUCUGUCAUGGGGGAAGAAGCAAGUGACGGUACCCCAAGAGGAAGCCCCUGCUAACUACGUGCCAGCAGCCGCGGUAAUACGUAGGGGGCGAGCGUUGUCCGGAUUUACUGGGCGUA
This 453-nucleotide ribosomal RNA is filed under the name uncultured bacterium. RNAcentral's name for it is "bacterial SSU rRNA". It matches the Rfam family "Bacterial small subunit ribosomal RNA", at positions 96 to 562 of the family's 1533-position model. The record is from RNAcentral.